UACAGAGGUCUCAACCGUUGUUCGGAUUCAUUGGGCGUAAAGGGUGCGUAGGCGGUCGCGCAAGUCGGAUGUGAAAUCUCAGGGCUCAACCCUGAAACUGCAUUCGAUACUGCGUGGCUAGAGUGCUGGAGGGGAGACUGGAAUUUACGGUGUAGCAGUGAAAUGCGUAGAUAUCGUAAGGAAGACCAGUGGCGAAGGCGAGUCUCUGGGCAACAACUGACGCUGAGGAGCGAAAGCGUGGGGAGCGAACAGG
RNAcentral lists this ribosomal RNA (253 nucleotides) under uncultured bacterium. RNAcentral describes it as "partial 16S ribosomal RNA". It matches the Rfam family "Bacterial small subunit ribosomal RNA", at positions 524 to 776 of the family's 1533-position model. The record is from RNAcentral.